Non-coding RNA from Chloroflexi bacterium CSP1-4, 84 nucleotides. The record is from Rfam. Lineage: Bacteria; Bacillati; Chloroflexota.
CCUCGGCAGGGAGGCGUAGAAAGGCGGGCCCGUCACGGCCGCCAAGCCCGCGUAGAGCCACUGGCGAGCCCGGCCCGACAAGCU